RNAcentral lists this ribosomal RNA (301 nucleotides) under uncultured bacterium. RNAcentral's name for it is "partial 16S ribosomal RNA". It matches the Rfam family "Bacterial small subunit ribosomal RNA", at positions 509 to 807 of the family's 1533-position model. The record is from RNAcentral.
CAGCAGCCACGGUAAAACGUAGGGUGCAAGCGUUAAUCGGAAUUACUGGGCGUAAAGCGUGCGCAGGCGGUGUUGUAAGACUGAUGUGAAAUCCCCGGGCUCAACCUGGGAACUGCAUUUGUGACUGUAUAGCUAGAGUACGGCAGAGGGGGAUGGAAUUCCGCGUGUAGCAGUGAAAUGCGUAGAUAUGCGGAGGAACACCGAUGGCGAAGGCAAUCCCCUGGGCCUGUACUGACGCUCAUGCACGAAAGCGUGGGGAGCAAACAGGAUUAGAUACCCGCGUAGUCCCUGUCUCUUAUAC